This 484-nucleotide ribosomal RNA is filed under the name uncultured bacterium. RNAcentral describes it as "partial 16S ribosomal RNA". It matches the Rfam family "Bacterial small subunit ribosomal RNA", at positions 30 to 507 of the family's 1533-position model. The record is from RNAcentral.
AUUGAACGCUGGCGGCAGGCCUAACACAUGCAAGUCGAGCGGAUGAAGGGAGCUUGCUCCUGGAUUCAGCGGCGGACGGGUGAGUAAUGCCUAGGAAUCUGCCUGGUGGUGGGGGAUAACGUCCGGAAACGGGCGCUAAUACCGCAUACGUCCUGAGGGAGAAAGUGGGGGAUCUUCGGACCUCACGCUAUCAGAUGAGCCUAGGUCGGAUUAGCUAGUUGGUGGGGUAAAGGCCUACCAAGGCGACGAUCCGUAACUGGUCUGAGAGGAUGAUCAGUCACACUGGAACUGAGACACGGUCCAGACUCCUACGGGAGGCAGCAGUGGGGAAUAUUGGACAAUGGGCGAAAGCCUGAUCCAGCCAUGCCGCGUGUGUGAAGAAGGUCUUCGGAUUGUAAAGCACUUUAAGUUGGGAGGAAGGGCAGUAAGUUAAUACCUUGCUGUUUUAACGUUACCAACAGAAUAAGCACCGGCUAACUUCGUG